RNAcentral lists this ribosomal RNA (490 nucleotides) under uncultured bacterium. RNAcentral describes it as "partial 16S ribosomal RNA". It matches the Rfam family "Bacterial small subunit ribosomal RNA", at positions 29 to 507 of the family's 1533-position model. The record is from RNAcentral.
AGUGAACGCUGGCGGCAGGCCUAAUACAUGCAAGUCGAACGGCAGCACAGUGGAGCUUGCUCCCUGGGUGGCGAGUGGCGGACGGGUGAGGAAUACAUGGGAAUCUGCCCAGUCGUGGGGGAUAACGUAGGGAAACUUACGCUAAUACCGCAUGCGCCCUUCGGGGGAAAGCCGGGGACCUUCGGGCCUGGCGCGAUUGGAUGAGCCCAUGUUCGAUUAGCUAGUUGGCGGGGUAAAGGCCCACCAAGGCGACGAUCGAUAGCUGGUCUGAGAGGAUGAUCAGCCACACUGGAACUGAGACACGGCCCAGACUCCUACGGGAGGUAGCAGUAGGGAAUAUUGGACAAUGGGCGCAAGCCUGAUCCAGCCAUGCCGCGUGAGUGAAGAAGGCCCUCGGGUUGUAAAGCUCUUUUGUCCGGGAAGAAAAGCAUCGGGCUAAUACCUCGGUGUUCUGACGGUACCGGAAGAAUAAGCACCGGCUAACUUCGUG